Molecule: ribosomal RNA, 175 nt
Filed under: Lasiosiphon calocephalus
Lineage: Eukaryota; Viridiplantae; Streptophyta; Magnoliopsida; Malvales; Thymelaeaceae
Description: Gnidia calocephala 5.8S ribosomal RNA
Rfam family: 5.8S ribosomal RNA (bases 6-161)
About the family: 5.8S ribosomal RNA (5.8S rRNA) is a component of the large subunit of the eukaryotic ribosome. It is transcribed by RNA polymerase I as part of the 45S precursor that also contains 18S and 28S rRNA.
Source: RNAcentral
AAAAUGACUCUCGGCAACGGAUAUCUCGGCUCUCGCAUCGAUGAAGAACGUAGCGAAAUGCGAUACUUGGUGUGAAUUGCAGAAUCCCGUGAACCAUCGAGUCUUUGAACGCAAGUUGCGCCCCAAGCCUUCGGGCCGAGGGCACGUCUGCCUGGGUGUCACGCAUCGUAGCCCG